Molecule: long non-coding RNA, 698 nt
Filed under: Homo sapiens (human)
Lineage: Eukaryota; Metazoa; Chordata; Mammalia; Primates; Hominidae
Description: HSALNT0146732
Source: RNAcentral
CCCAAGCAGAAAUAAUCUCUCCUCUUUUUGUGUUUCCUCACAGUUUUUUACAUUUGACUUUUUACUCUACAUAUGGAUGAAUUGUACUAUAUCAUCUACUACUUUUUUUAGCCCUUUGCUUAUCUCUGUAUCUACAGUGAAGGCUGGGUUAAUUGAAUGACACAGACUAGAAUUGAAGUAAAGCAUUUUUUUCUAGUAAAUUCUACAAUCUUUGGUCCUUAUUGUAUAAAUGUGGUCAUAGAAAAGAUACCUUUCUCACUAUGGUUAACCUACAUUAAAAAAAACUAAGAAGGAGCACCGUGUUUAGUUACUGACACCUAAUCCUUUGUUUUUCUUAGACUUAGGUCAGCAGAAAUAUGAAGCCUGGUAAGACUGCCUGUAUUUCCAGGUUUUGUAACCCUGGUUUAUUCAUCAAACUAUUGUGAACUUUGGCCCAAUCAUGUUCUUUUGCAGCCUGUAUAUUUGUUUAUCAUUCACUUGCAUAGAAAAGAUACCACCUAUUGUAAAGAAUCUGUUUGUAGAAAUUGUAGAACAUGAAAGGAGGCUGGUUAGUCAAUACGCGUAUUUUGUGUUUCCCUAUAUAAUGACCAAUUGAUUUGUUUCAGGGUAAUCUCAGCUCUAACUGCUAAUCCAGAAAGGAAGUGCCUAAUCUUUACAGAACUACUGGAGUAAAAGGAUAAUGUUCCCAGAGAGAGGAG